AAAAAGACAAACUCUGAGUUUCCGUGUCCAACUUUAACUGUCCGUUUUAUAUGAAAUUUUUUUAUAAUUCGUAUUUUCAUUGUUAUUAGAUGAUAAAACAUGAUUAAUAUUUUAUGCGUGACUUGUCUUUUUAAUUUUUUUCAUAAUUUUUUCAAAUAAGACGGACGGUCAAACGUUGAGUAUAGAACCAGGGUUUGUCUUUUU
Oryza rufipogon (brownbeard rice) is the source of this 204-nucleotide microRNA precursor. It matches the Rfam family "MIR812 microRNA precursor family". The record is from Rfam. NCBI's taxonomy places the organism in Eukaryota, Viridiplantae, Streptophyta, Magnoliopsida, Poales, Poaceae.